AUACGGGGGGUGCAAGCGUUGUUCGGAAUUAUUGGGCGUAAAGCGCGUGUAGGCGGUUUGUUAAGUCUGAUGUGAAAGCCCUGGGCUCAACCCAGGAAGUGCAUUGGAAACUGGCAGACUUGAAUACGGGAGAGGGUAGUGGAAUUCCUGGUGUAGGAGUGAAAUCCGUAGAUAUCAGGAGGAACACCGGUGGCGAAGGCGGCUACCUGGACCGAUAUUGACGCUGAGGUGCGAAAGCCGGGGGAGC
Molecule: ribosomal RNA, 247 nt
Filed under: uncultured bacterium
Lineage: Bacteria
Description: partial 16S ribosomal RNA
Rfam family: Bacterial small subunit ribosomal RNA
Source: RNAcentral